UCAUAGAGAGGCCGGUCACCAGCUGGACCCCCAACUCUGUGAUGGUCACUUUUUCAUCCACUACUGUGAUAGUCUUCUCUGCCAGGAUUGAGUCUGAUAAAGGAGACAACACCUUGGAGGAAAAAGAAGACAAUGAAGAGAAAGAUAAAUGGGAAAGGAUCAGCACUGCAAUGCUGAAGGAAUUUUAAAGGAAGAAGAUGAAGAAUUUUAUUCCACAGUACUCCCCUCAAACACUUUAUUGUCCAGCAAUAACCUGUGACAUUCAGAGCUGGAGAGGUUUUCCCAGGAGAAAUCAGCAGUGACAGCAACCAGAGCUGAACGGUGAACGAGAGCGCUACCUAUAGAAACUUCAUCAACAGAAAAUCCAAGCAGAAGUUCCCACUGGUCACACUGCUUGAUUGACAAGUAAUCUAGAGGAAAGGCACACUUUAACCCCAAAACAGAAGUAGGAAGUCUAACCACAUUUAUGAUAAACGCCAUGUGCAGUUUGUGACUUUCUCUGCCUGCACGUCUUUAUAAAUGUCUUAUCAUGCAAGAGCCUGUGCGGUGCGUGGCUCAGGUAGUCACCGCUGUCAGACCUUUGCACUCGUCAUG
Molecule: long non-coding RNA, 594 nt
Organism: Acanthopagrus latus (yellowfin seabream)
Lineage: Eukaryota; Metazoa; Chordata; Actinopteri; Spariformes; Sparidae
Exons: 3
Source: RefSeq, a predicted model, not a curated record